UACAGAGGGUGCAAGCGUUAAUCGGAAUUACUGGGCGUAAAGCGUGCGUAGACGGUUAUGUAAGUCAGAUGUGAAAGCCCCGGGCUCAACCUGGGAAUUGCAUUUGAGACUGCAUAGCUAGGGUGCGGAAGAGGGAAGCGGAAUUUCCGGUGUAGCGGUGAAAUGCGUAGAUAUCGGAAGGAACACCAGUGGCGAAGGCGGCGACCUGGACGGACACUGACGCUGAGACGCGAAAGCGUGGGGAGCAAACAGG
RNAcentral lists this ribosomal RNA (253 nucleotides) under uncultured bacterium. RNAcentral's name for it is "partial 16S ribosomal RNA". It matches the Rfam family "Bacterial small subunit ribosomal RNA", at positions 524 to 776 of the family's 1533-position model. The record is from RNAcentral.